ACCUUUGAACUUAUCCUGCAUUGCCUGCUUGCAAAUUCCAGUGCAAGUAUCUUCACUGCAUGGCACAUCUGCAUCAUCUGCAAUGUCCACUAACACGCGAUGGUGAUCAGGAUUAAAGGUAGCGGCGGCAUCGACACCCUCCCACGUCGAGAGUGUCAACGACAACAAGCCAAAAGCAAGACUAAUGAUCAAAGCCAAUGAAGCUCUUCUUUCUUCCAUUGCAAACAAAAACAAGGACCAGAUAUUGCAGAGGGGUUUCGCAUAGUGGUGGAAUGCAAGAUGCCUGAGUGCUUCCAAAUUUGUUAUAAUGCAUAUAAGAACAAACUCAUUGAAGCAAUGUGCAGGCCUACAACUUGGGGAAACCUUUGCGUUUGCUACCAUAAUCCUUAAUAUAUUAUACCAUUGGUUUCUGUUUCAUUAUCAACAACUAGCUUUGUAAUUCCAUUAAAUAAAAGGAAUAAAGAUUGUUAUGUCUGAUUAGCUACUGAUAAAUAAAAGAUUGUUAAUGGAGAGGGGGAAAGAUGAAGUUGCAGAAGAAUCCAAGCUCGAAACAUUCACUUAGAAAAAAACACCAAAAAACACCCAAAGAGAAGAGACCCCAUUAUGUAUACAUUCUGACACCGCACUUUAUUCCUUACAGCACUCUACACGAUAAUUUUUAUCA
This is a long non-coding RNA of Mangifera indica (mango), 664 nucleotides long. RefSeq lists it as uncharacterized. The transcript is spliced from 2 exons. Lineage: Eukaryota; Viridiplantae; Streptophyta; Magnoliopsida; Sapindales; Anacardiaceae. The record is from RefSeq and is a predicted model, not a curated record.